UGGGUGACCUGCCCUCAGCUCUGGGAUGAGCCUGGGAAACUGGGUCUAAUACUGGAUAUUCACUUCUCAUCGCAUGGUGGGUGGUGGAAAGUUUUUCGGCUGGGGAUGGGCCCGCGGCCUAUCAGCUUGUUGGUGGGGUGAUGGCCUACCAAGGCGACGACGGGUAGCCGGCCUGAGAGGGCGUCCGGCCACACUGGGACUGAGACACGGCCCAGACUCCGUACGGGA
RNAcentral lists this ribosomal RNA (228 nucleotides) under uncultured bacterium. RNAcentral's name for it is "partial 16S ribosomal RNA". It matches the Rfam family "Bacterial small subunit ribosomal RNA", at positions 118 to 346 of the family's 1533-position model. The record is from RNAcentral.